UCCCUGGAGGAUUAGUGGUUAGGCCACAGUGCUGUCACCUCUGCAGCCUGGGUUUGAUACCCGGCCAGAAAA
This 72-nucleotide transfer RNA is filed under the name Pangasianodon hypophthalmus (striped catfish). Its description in RNAcentral is "tRNA-Asp". The record is from RNAcentral. Lineage: Eukaryota; Metazoa; Chordata; Actinopteri; Siluriformes; Pangasiidae.